Molecule: small nuclear RNA, 147 nt
Filed under: Microtus ochrogaster (prairie vole)
Lineage: Eukaryota; Metazoa; Chordata; Mammalia; Rodentia; Cricetidae
Description: U1 spliceosomal RNA (ENSMOCG00000004303.1)
Source: RNAcentral
ACACGCACCUGGCAUGGGGAAGGCAUGGUCACCAAGACGGUUUUCUCAGGGAGGCCUAUCCAUUGCUCUCUGAGCCACUGCAUUCCCCCAAAUCCAGGAAACUCAGCUGCAUAGUUUGUGCUAGCAUGCCCUCUCUGCUGAAACAUA